This 222-nucleotide ribosomal RNA is filed under the name uncultured bacterium. RNAcentral describes it as "partial 16S ribosomal RNA". It matches the Rfam family "Bacterial small subunit ribosomal RNA", at positions 28 to 250 of the family's 1533-position model. The record is from RNAcentral.
GACGAACGCUGGCGGCGUGCUUAACACAUGCAAGUCGAGCGGUAAGGCCCUUUCGGGGGUACGACGAGCGGCGAACGGGUGAGUAACACGUGGGUGACCUGCCUCUAGCUCUGGGAUAAGCCUGGGAAGCUGGGUCUAAUACCGGAUAUGACCUCGCGGUGCAUGUUGCGGGGUGGAAAGCCUUGUGCGGCUAGGGAUGGGCCCGCGGCCUAUCAGCUUGUU